UAAAAAGCUCGUAGUUGAACCUUGGGCCUGGCUGGCCGGUCCCCUCACCGGGUGCACUGAUCCAGCCGGGCCUUUCCCUCUGUGGAACCCCAUGGCCUUCACUGGCUGUGGCGGGGAAACAGGACUUUUACUUUGAAAAAAUUAGAGUGCUCCAGGCAGGCCUAUGCUCGAAUACAUUAGCAUGGAAUAAUAAAAUAGAAGUUGUGGUUCUAUUUUGUUGGUUUCUAGGACCGCCGUAAUGAUUAAUAGGGACAGUCGGGGGCAUCAGUAUUCAAUUGUCAGAGGUGAAAUUCUUGGAUCUAUUGAAGACUAACUACUGCGAAAGCAUUUGCCAAGGAUGUUUUCAUUGAUAAGGAACGAAAGUUAG
RNAcentral lists this ribosomal RNA (367 nucleotides) under Lomentospora prolificans. RNAcentral describes it as "Scedosporium prolificans Eukaryotic small subunit ribosomal RNA". It matches the Rfam family "Eukaryotic small subunit ribosomal RNA", at positions 620 to 993 of the family's 1831-position model. Lineage: Eukaryota; Fungi; Ascomycota; Sordariomycetes; Microascales; Microascaceae. The record is from Rfam by way of RNAcentral.